This 523-nucleotide ribosomal RNA is filed under the name uncultured fungus. RNAcentral describes it as "eukaryotic LSU rRNA". The stretch from base 165 to 310 matches the Rfam family "5.8S ribosomal RNA". Lineage: Eukaryota; Fungi. The record is from RNAcentral.
AAGUCGUAACAAGGUUUCCGUAGGUGAACCUGCGGAAGGAUCAUUACAAAAUUUCGAGUGCUGAGCAGCGGCGACAUGGCGCAUUCGUGUGCUGUGGCGCCAGCUGCCGACACCACUUUACGCUUGUUGUGUUUGACAGAGUUAUUGUUGCUUUAAAUAUAGACAACUUUUAACAAUGGAUCUCUUGGCCCUUGCAACGAUGAAGAACGCAGUAAAGUGCGAUAUCUAGUGCGAUUUGCAUGAAUCUGUGAGUCAUCGAGUUUUUGAACGCAACUUGCGCCCAGCAAUGGGCAUGUCUGUUUGAGUACCGCAAACCAUUUGCACUCUGCAAAGAGGGCGAGUUGGGCAGCGAGACGGCGCAAGCAGUCUCCGGCCUGGAAUGGAGCAAGAUGAUGGACGUUUGGUGCAUCUCUGUGUGCUAUAAACACGCAAGUGUUUGGUCGCAGGGCGUGUGCUGGCGCGCUGUCGCAAACCACAUUUUUUUCAUGGUCUCAAAUCAGGCAGGAUUACCCGCUGAACUUAA